RNAcentral lists this long non-coding RNA (534 nucleotides) under Medicago truncatula (barrel medic). Its description in RNAcentral is "lncRNA gene32244". The record is from RNAcentral. Lineage: Eukaryota; Viridiplantae; Streptophyta; Magnoliopsida; Fabales; Fabaceae.
GUUAGAAAGAAGGUAUGAUAUGCUAUCACUAAAUUAAAGAGACAUGACUAUUUAAAUAAUACUAUUUGCACCCUUAUUUCAUCAUCAUUAUCGUCUUAGAAUACAAAACAAUAAUUAUUAGAUCAGUGAAAUUAGAAGAGAAAAAACAAUUAUUGGUUGCCAUCACAAUAACUAAUUCAAAACUCAUGAAAUAUUCUAACAUAAGGUGAGUUCUUUUGUACUCUCUUGAGUCUGAUACUACUCAUAGAAUCAAAGAUAUCUUCCAACAGUAACACAUUUCUGUUUAAUGCACCUAAUAGCAAAAAGGAAUGAAUAGUUUGGUGGACAAUCAAUUUCUGAUUGACACGCAAUAUACGCUGUAAUGGAAAAAGACAAUAAAACAAUUUUAAUAAACAUGAUUUAAGAUUGUGUGCAAUCUAUGAUAAAGAAGGAAUUUUUAGAAGGAUAAACAAAAUGGCUUACCACCAACUUUCGUUGUGACAAGAAACAAGGAAAGCAGUAAAAUCAUAGUAUAAACAAACUUGAUAAUUUCUG